RNAcentral lists this ribosomal RNA (301 nucleotides) under uncultured bacterium. Its description in RNAcentral is "partial 16S ribosomal RNA". It matches the Rfam family "Bacterial small subunit ribosomal RNA", at positions 509 to 807 of the family's 1533-position model. The record is from RNAcentral.
CAGCAGCCGCGGGAAUACAGAGGUCCCGAGCGUUGUUCGGAUUCACUGGGCGUAAAGGGUGUGUAGGAGGUUUGGUAAGUCAGGUGUGAAAUCCCGCAGCUUAACUGCGGAACUGCAUUCGAUACUGCUGAACUAGAGGCUUGGAGGGGGAAGCGGAACUCUUGGUGUAGCGGUGAAAUGCGUAGAUAUCAAGAGGAACACCGGUGGCGAAGGCGGCUUCCUGGACAAGUCCUGACUCUGAAACACGAAAGCUAGGGGAGCGAAUGGGAUUAGAUACCCCCGUAGUCCCUGUCUCUUAUAC